RNAcentral lists this ribosomal RNA (405 nucleotides) under uncultured bacterium. RNAcentral describes it as "bacterial SSU rRNA". It matches the Rfam family "Bacterial small subunit ribosomal RNA", at positions 355 to 776 of the family's 1533-position model. The record is from RNAcentral.
UGGGGAAUAUUGCACAAUGGGGGAAACCCUGAUGCAGCGACGCCGCGUGAGCGAAGAAGGCCUUCGGGUUGUAAAGCUCUGUUGAGGGGGACGAAGAAUGACGGUACCCCUUUAGAAAGCCACGGCUAACUACGUGCCAGCAGCCGCGGUAAUACGUAGGUGGCGAGCGUUGUCCGGAAUUACUGGGUGUAAAGGGAGCGUAGGCGGGGGUCUAAGUUGGAUGUGAAAUACCGCAGCUUAACUGCGGGGCUGCAUCCAAAACUGGACUUCUUGAGUGAAGUAGAGGCAAGCGGAAUUCCUAGUGUAGCGGUGAAAUGCGUAGAUAUUAGGAGGAACACCAGUGGCGAAGGCGGCUUGCUGGGCUUUUACUGACGCUGAGGCUCGAAAGCGUGGGGAGCAAACAGG